AUGCACAUUAAUAGUUGCAGUAAGCUUGAGUCCACAUAUGGCAGGAAGCAGCAGCAGGGACAGUCAGUAUCAUCGAUUCGUCAAGGGUCAUCCAGUAUAGAAGAAUUAUCAUUAUACAACUGUGAUGGCUUAACAGGGGUCCUCUAUUUUCCCCCGUCCCUCAAGAGACUAGAAAUUGUUAAGUGUGGUGGGUUGGCAUCUCUGAAAUCCUGCUCUCCCGAGCUCCAAUCCUUGGAGCACCUCCACCUUUGGAAUUGCAAGACCCUGGAAUCCCUACCGGAUGUGCCGCAAGCAUACUCAUCUCUCCAACAUAUUUGCAUCAGCGACUGCCCUGGUAUGAAGACGCUCCCUGCAAGCCUGCAGCAACACCUUGGCAGCAUCCAGGAGGAACACAUAGAUGCCCAUCUUUAUGGAAAUAAGCCAAGGCCUAUGCUGCUGAAGCCCAAGACAUGGAAGUAUGUCUGCAAAGGUUGA
RNAcentral lists this ribosomal RNA (474 nucleotides) under Triticum aestivum (bread wheat). RNAcentral describes it as "partial small subunit ribosomal RNA". Lineage: Eukaryota; Viridiplantae; Streptophyta; Magnoliopsida; Poales; Poaceae. The record is from RNAcentral.